RNAcentral lists this ribosomal RNA (492 nucleotides) under uncultured bacterium. RNAcentral's name for it is "partial 16S ribosomal RNA". It matches the Rfam family "Bacterial small subunit ribosomal RNA", at positions 29 to 507 of the family's 1533-position model. The record is from RNAcentral.
AGUGAACGCUGGCGGUAGGCCUAACACAUGCAAGUCGAACGGCAGCACAGUAAGAGCUUGCUCUUACGGGUGGCGAGUGGCGGACGGGUGAGGAAUACAUCGGAAUCUACUUUUUCGUGGGGGAUAACGUAGGGAAACUUACGCUAAUACCGCAUACGACCUACGGGUGAAAGCAGGGGAUCUUCGGACCUUGCGCGAUUGAAUGAGCCGAUGUCGGAUUAGCUAGUUGGCGGGGUAAAGGCCCACCAAGGCGACGAUCCGUAGCUGGUCUGAGAGGAUGAUCAGACACACUGGAACUGAGACACGGUACAGACACCUACGGGAGGCAGCAGUGGGGAAUAUUGGACAAUGGGCGCAAGCCUGAUCCAGCCAUACCGCGUGGGUGAAGAAGGACUUCGGGCUGUAAAGCCCUUUUGUUGGGAAAGAAAAGCAGCAGGUUAAUACCCCGCUGUUCUGACGGUACCCAAAGAAUAAGCACCGGCUAACUUCGUG